GGACGAUUAGCUCAAUGGUAGAGCGUCUCUCUUACACAGAGAAGGCCGCAGGUUCGAUCCCUGCAUCGUCCA
Molecule: transfer RNA, 72 nt
Filed under: Patescibacteria group bacterium
Lineage: Bacteria
Description: tRNA-Val
Rfam family: tRNA
About the family: Transfer RNA (tRNA) molecules are approximately 80 nucleotides in length. Their secondary structure includes four short double-helical elements and three loops (D, anti-codon, and T loops). Further hydrogen bonds mediate the characteristic L-shaped molecular structure. tRNAs have two regions of fundamental functional importance: the anti-codon, which is responsible for specific mRNA codon recognition, and the 3' end, to which the tRNAs corresponding amino acid is attached (by aminoacyl-tRNA synthetases). tRNAs cope with the degeneracy of the genetic code in two manners: having more than one tRNA (with a specific anti-codon) for a particular amino acid; and 'wobble' base-pairing, i.e. permitting non-standard base-pairing at the 3rd anti-codon position.
Source: RNAcentral